UUCUGCUCUCUGUAGCCCUCGGAAAAGUGUGGUGUUCUCAAUGUCACCAAGAUUACUGAACAUGGCAAGAAAGUCAGGAAGAAUUGGGCCUCCACCUGGACUGUCCUGCAGGGAUCCUCUUUACUUUUUGCAAAGGGUCAGGGCAGUGGCACCAGCUGGUCGUACUGCCGCAAUGGUUCCUUUCCUGAACUCCUCCUUUCAUUGCUAAGUAACUGGAAGCGUUCGAUUAAGCCCCGGCCCGCAGUGUCCUAUACAAACUGUAGACGCAGCCGGGCUUCCUCUGUAUGUGUCAGCUUCUCUGGACAGAGUGAAUGUGCCCUCGAUGCUGAUCAAGGAACAGUUUUGCCUAGAUUAACAGAUUUGUGAUUUGAUAAACUUCAUUAGAUGGUUUUAAAUAGGCCAUCUAAUUUCUAAAAUUUCUACAAAUUUUAGAAAUUAGUAGUAUUUAAUAUAAGUUCAUUAUUUAAAUAAUUGUAUGAUACAGAUCUGUUUUGAGAUCAGCUGAGCAGGGCAGCUUGUCUCCCAUUUUAUUUGUGCACGUCCUACUUUCUGCCUGCGCGCCACAUUUAUCGGCCCCUGCUCUGUGCUUGAAGUUCCUCCAGCAAGAGAGGGUGAAUUUUAAACUUUUACAAUGUCAAAUAACCAGAGAUAGUAAAUGAAAAUGGAUGCACUAAGAACCUUAUGUUUGCUGGCAUGCAUUUCUGCAUAUUCCGACUAAUUUAUUUUAUGGUGUGUGAAUGUGUAAACAUCUGUAUUAUCACAACAUACAAAAAGAAGCUUAGCAUUGUGCAAAGCAAAAUGUGGGAAUGCUCUUUGCAAACCUAGGCCAUAAAUUAUAAGACAGUGUUGCGUGUGCAUUUAAUAUUCAAGUCUAACCUAUUAUUGCACAUUUGGCACCCAGAACUAAUUGACACGUAAAAUGCUUUUGACCCAGGAACUCACUAUAUGAGCUAUCACUAUAGCUCGUGUUUAACAGCACUGAACUAAAGAGAAUCCUUAAAUAACUCCCGAUGAUUUACUUAGAGAGUGACAGGAUUUAAACUGAGUUGUUCAAUUCA
Long non-coding RNA from Sinocyclocheilus rhinocerous, 1058 nucleotides. RefSeq lists it as uncharacterized. The record is from RefSeq and is a predicted model, not a curated record. The transcript has 3 exons. NCBI's taxonomy places the organism in Eukaryota, Metazoa, Chordata, Actinopteri, Cypriniformes, Cyprinidae.